RNAcentral lists this ribosomal RNA (2924 nucleotides) under Escherichia coli. RNAcentral's name for it is "bacterial LSU rRNA". It matches the Rfam family "Bacterial large subunit ribosomal RNA". The record is from RNAcentral. Lineage: Bacteria; Pseudomonadati; Pseudomonadota; Gammaproteobacteria; Enterobacterales; Enterobacteriaceae.
GGGUUGUGAGGUUAAGCGACUAAGCGUACACGGUGGAUGCCCUGGCAGUCAGAGGCGAUGAAGGACGUGCUAAUCUGCGAUAAGCGUCGGUGAGGUGAUAUGAACCGUUAUAACCGGCGAUUUCCGAAUGGGGAAACCCAGUGUGAUUCGUCACACUAUCAUUAACUGAAUCCAUAGGUUAAUGAGGCGAACCGGGGGAACUGAAACAUCUAAGUACCCCGAGGAAAAGAAAUCAACCGAGAUUCCCCCAGUAGCGGCGAGCGAACGGGGAGGAGCCCAGAGCCUGAAUCAGUGUGUGUGUUAGUGGAAGCGUCUGGAAAGGCGCGCGAUACAGGGUGACAGCCCCGUACACAAAAAUGCACAUAUUGUGAGCUCGAUGAGUAGGGCGGGACACGUGGUAUCCUGUCUGAAUAUGGGGGGACCAUCCUCCAAGGCUAAAUACUCCUGACUGACCGAUAGUGAACCAGUACCGUGAGGGAAAGGCGAAAAGAACCCCGGCGAGGGGAGUGAAAAAGAACCUGAAACCGUGUACGUACAAGCAGUGGGAGCCUCUUAAUGGGGUGACUGCGUACCUUUUGUAUAAUGGGUCAGCGACUUAUAUUCUGUAGCAAGGUUAACCGAAUAGGGGAGCCGAAGGGAAACCGAGUCUUAACUGGGCGUUAAGUUGCAGGGUAUAGACCCGAAACCCGGUGAUCUAGCCAUGGGCAGGUUGAAGGUUGGGUAACACUAACUGGAGGACCGAACCGACUAAUGUUGAAAAAUUAGCGGAUGACUUGUGGCUGGGGGUGAAAGGCCAAUCAAACCGGGAGAUAGCUGGUUCUCCCCGAAAGCUAUUUAGGUAGCGCCUCGUGAAUUCAUCUCCGGGGGUAGAGCACUGUUUCGGCAAGGGGGUCAUCCCGACUUACCAACCCGAUGCAAACUGCGAAUACCGGAGAAUGUUAUCACGGGAGACACACGGCGGGUGCUAACGUCCGUCGUGAAGAGGGAAACAACCCAGACCGCCAGCUAAGGUCCCAAAGUCAUGGUUAAGUGGGAAACGAUGUGGGAAGGCCCAGACAGCCAGGAUGUUGGCUUAGAAGCAGCCAUCAUUUAAAGAAAGCGUAAUAGCUCACUGGUCGAGUCGGCCUGCGCGGAAGAUGUAACGGGGCUAAACCAUGCACCGAAGCUGCGGCAGCGACACUAUGUGUUGUUGGGUAGGGGAGCGUUCUGUAAGCCUGUGAAGGUGGCCUGUGAGGGUUGCUGGAGGUAUCAGAAGUGCGAAUGCUGACAUAAGUAACGAUAAAGCGGGUGAAAAGCCCGCUCGCCGGAAGACCAAGGGUUCCUGUCCAACGUUAAUCGGGGCAGGGUGAGUCGACCCCUAAGGCGAGGCCGAAAGGCGUAGUCGAUGGGAAACAGGUUAAUAUUCCUGUACUUGGUGUUACUGCGAAGGGGGGACGGAGAAGGCUAUGUUGGCCGGGCGACGGUUGUCCCGGUUUAAGCGUGUAGGCUGGUUUUCCAGGCAAAUCCGGAAAACCAAGGCUGAGGCGUGAUGACGAGGCACUACGGUGCUGAAGCGACAAAUGCCCUGCUUCCAGGAAAAGCCUCUAAGCAUCAGGUAACAUCAAAUCGUACCCCAAACCGACACAGGUGGUCAGGUAGAGAAUACCAAGGCGCUUGAGAGAACUCGGGUGAAGGAACUAGGCAAAAUGGUGCCGUAACUUCGGGAGAAGGCACGCUGAUAUGUAGGUGAAGCGACUUGCUCGUGGAGCUGAAAUCAGUCGAAGAUACCAGCUGGCUGCAACUGUUUAUUAAAAACACAGCACUGUGCAAACACGAAAGUGGACGUAUACGGUGUGACGCCUGCCCGGUGCCGGAAGGUUAAUUGAUGGGGUUAGCGGUAACGCGAAGCUCUUGAUCGAAGCCCCGGUAAACGGCGGCCGUAACUAUAACGGUCCUAAGGUAGCGAAAUUCCUUGUCGGGUAAGUUCCGACCUGCACGAAUGGCGUAAUGAUGGCCAGGCUGUCUCCACCCGAGACUCAGUGAAAUUGAACUCGCUGUGAAGAUGCAGUGUACCCGCGGCAAGACGGAAAGACCCCGUGAACCUUUACUAUAGCUUGACACUGAACAUUGAGCCUUGAUGUGUAGGAUAGGUGGGAGGCUUUGAAGUGUGGACGCCAGUCUGCAUGGAGCCGACCUUGAAAUACCACCCUUUAAUGUUUGAUGUUCUAACGUGGGCCCCUAAUCGGGGUUGCGGACAGUGUCUGGUGGGUAGUUUGACUGGGGCGGUCUCCUCCUAAAGAGUAACGGAGGAGCACGAAGGUUGGCUAAUCCUGGUCGGACAUCAGGAGGUUAGUGCAAUGGCAUAAGCCAGCUUGACUGCGAGCGUGACGGCGCGAGCAGGUGCGAAAGCAGGUCAUAGUGAUCCGGUGGUUCUGAAUGGAAGGGCCAUCGCUCAACGGAUAAAAGGUACUCCGGGGAUAACAGGCUGAUACCGCCCAAGAGUUCAUAUCGACGGCGGUGUUUGGCACCUCGAUGUCGGCUCAUCACAUCCUGGGGCUGAAGUAGGUCCCAAGGGUAUGGCUGUUCGCCAUUUAAAGUGGUACGCGAGCUGGGUUUAGAACGUCGUGAGACAGUUCGGUCCCUAUCUGCCGUGGGCGCUGGAGAACUGAGGGGGCUGCUCCUAGUACGAGAGGACCGGAGUGGACGCAUCACUGGUGUUCGGGUUGUCAUGCCAAUGGCACUGCCCGGUAGCUAAAUGCGGAAGAGAUAAGUGCUGAAAGCAUCUAAGCACGAAACUUGCCCCGAGAUGAGUUCUCCCUGACUCCUUGAGGGUCCUGAAGGAACGUUGAAGACGACGACGUUGAUAGGCCGGGUGUGUAAGCGCAGCGAUGCGUUGAGCUAACCGGUACUAAUGAACCGUGAGGCUUAACCUUACAACGCCGAAG